Triticum aestivum (bread wheat) is the source of this 135-nucleotide non-coding RNA. The record is from Rfam. Lineage: Eukaryota; Viridiplantae; Streptophyta; Magnoliopsida; Poales; Poaceae.
UUUGUAGUCCCUCCGUACCAAAAUUCUUGUCUUAAAUUUGUCUAAAUACGGAUGUAUCUAGUUACAUUUUAGUGUUAGAUACAUCCGUAUCUAAACAAAUGUAAGACAAGAAUUUUGGGAUGGAGGGAAUACUAC